Solanum stenotomum is the source of this 722-nucleotide long non-coding RNA. RefSeq lists it as uncharacterized. Lineage: Eukaryota; Viridiplantae; Streptophyta; Magnoliopsida; Solanales; Solanaceae. The record is from RefSeq and is a predicted model, not a curated record. The transcript is spliced from 6 exons.
GGCUAUAUCAUAUCGAUCUAAUCUUUUUACUUCGGGUGGUCAAAUUUUCGCUCCAGGAAUUGAAAACAGUCUAUGUUGAACAGAUCUGGUACUUCUGACCGCAACAAUGAAAUAUUUGUUCUCUUUUGGGAUUGAACACUUAUAUGAUGGAUCUCCAAGCUGGAAAUUCUUCUCAUUUGGGAGAUCUUUGUACUAAUGUCAAGACUACACAAGUGAAGAUCUUUCUAUCUUCUUCAUUAUUACUUGAUUUUUGCUCUAGAAAUUGAAAACAAUUUAUGUUGAAUAGAUCUGGUAUAUAUGACCGUUGAGUAGUUGAAGCUUUCUGUCAAUGAAACUCUAAGUUGGAAUGGCUUCUCUUUUGGGAGAUCUUUGUACUGAUGUCAUGGACUGCACAAGUGAAGCUUUUACUAUCUUCUUCACUGUUAUUUGGUGGUUAGAUUUUUGCUCCAGAAAUUGAUAAUAGUUUAUGCUGAAUAGAUCUGGUGCUCUUGACCGAUGGACUCAAUUCUAAAACCUCUGAUUAAGAAUGAAGGAGUACUAAUCAGUCCACCACAAUUUUUCGUAAGGGAGAAAGUUUUUUGUCAGGCUGUGGGUUAUAGCUUAAUUCUUUUUCCUUUUUGUUUUUUUGUUUUUGUCUCAAUCCUAGAACAUUUAUUUUUAUUACAUUUAAUAGGGAAAUGAGAGGUUUAAUGAUUUUUACCACUACUAAUCCUAUAAUGUAC